UCCAUGUAGGAGGUUUCCACACCAGGGCC
RNAcentral lists this non-coding RNA (29 nucleotides) under Rattus norvegicus (Norway rat). The record is from RNAcentral. Lineage: Eukaryota; Metazoa; Chordata; Mammalia; Rodentia; Muridae.